GAUGAAGAACUUAGUGAAAUGCGACAAGUAAUGUGAAUUGCAGAAUUCCGUGAAUCAUCGAACCUUUGAACGCACAUUGCGCCCGUCAGUAUUCUGGCGGGCAUGCCUGUUCGAGCGUCAUUACGCCCCUCAAGUCCCCUGUGGACUUGGUGUUGGGGAUCGGCGAGGCUGGUUUUCCAGCACAGCCGUCCCUUAAAUUAAUUGGCGGUCUCGCCGUGGCCCUCCUCUGCGCAGUAGUAAAACACUCGCAACAGGAGCCCGGCGCGGUCCACUGCCGUAAAACCCCCCAACUUUUUAUAGUUGACCUCGAAUCAGGUAGGACUACCCGCUGAACUUAAGCAUAUCAAUAAGCGGAGGA
This 358-nucleotide unclassified non-coding RNA is filed under the name soil metagenome. Its description in RNAcentral is "partial contains 5.8S ribosomal RNA, internal transcribed spacer 2, and large subunit ribosomal RNA". The stretch from base 1 to 120 matches the Rfam family "5.8S ribosomal RNA", at positions 35 to 154 of the family's 154-position model. The record is from RNAcentral.